CAUGGUUGCAAAUGUUUGUCUUUCCCAUCACACGCAACUCUUGUCGGUGACUUUACCUGAUUGAUCGACGGGGUAAUGAGGACCGGACACGAUUAUUUGUUAGAUCGACCAAUCAGCGAACCGUUAUUUCAAUCAUUUGAUGUGAUGGGGCGUCCGCCAAAUUCGAUUACUUCAAAUCGAAACAAGCGAGCAAUUUAUUUUCGACUGGUUUAUGGAAUAGGUGCCCAAAUACAAAACUUGAAAGUCGUAAAUGUCAAUUGCAAUGUCAUAGUUUUUCAUUUGUGUAUCCGAGCGUGUACUUUCAACACUGUUGAUCAGCGAGAGCAAAAAGUUUUAACAACGCAGCGAAGAGUUCAUAACUAUCGUGCACAAUUUGCACCGUAGGAAUUCUGGUAAAAAUUAUAAUUUUACGGAGUGCGGUAUUUGCAUAAUGUCGCAAUGCCGCAACCAAACUAUUCCUGUAAAAUUGCAAUAACUUGAACAAUUUCCCUUGUAAUUGUCCUUGUGUGCUGGGUGGUUGACAAUUAUUCCGCUUAAACAACGAACAUGCAUGGGAAUUAUCCCACUUAUAAAUUUAAUUUGAAUACAGGUAAAACCAUAAACAAGGGCUUAUUGCUCUCGGUAUUUCGUAGAUGGCUUUAUCCAGACAUUUUCCCAGUCCAGUCCUCGGUUUUUGCCACCGCAGCUCCACACACUAAUGCACAAACGCUGCUCGGUGAUCUCAUCAACCAUUCCCGCAAAUAUCUUUGGCCUCCCUCGGCACAGGCUGUCCUUUGUCAACCCCCGACGCCGAAGACGCGAUCGAAUUUUUAUUGUCCCAGCUUCACAUGUGCGCGCUUUCUUUUCAUGGACCAAAAAACGCAUAAUAUGAGCGAUAAAGCAUAUUGGAAAAGGGGAAAUCCCGCGACCCUAAAUUAUAGUUCUAGGGUGUCACUUUAUAGGUUUCCCGAUUUACGUCAACGCAAGAUGACGACGGCAAUGAUGGGGCUCAGCUCGCGAUAUACGCGACUUCCUGCAACCGCAGCCCUCUCUUGUGUACGCCAGCAUCCCCCUAACGCACCAGGUCGAUUCCCAGGGGAUCCACCAGAUAACACUUAAUGGCAUCUUUGCACUCAAGAUUUGCACUGUUUAAAAUUUUUACAAGGGGCGCUUCGGCUUUAUUUCACUUUCAUCCCGGAUCAGACGUGACAAUUUUCGAGGGGCUUAAGCUAAUAGAUGAAUAUAUUCAUAGAAUAUCGGGACUAGAUAAAAAAGGAUCUCUUUUAAAUUUUAUUGCGACGCAAGGAUUAUGACACGCGAAAAAAUCCAAUUUCACUGUUCCACCUCCGUCGCAACGUCAUAAAUAAAACGAAUGGCUGCGAGGAAUGGCGACCUUUCUUUUCAAAAUUUCCUCGCACUUGUAAAAAACAGUUUACCGUCUGAAUUUUUUAGGCCACUCAAACCCAUCAUUAUUUAUGGGUUGCAAUAGCAAUCGAGCCGGUCAGGAAAACCGUGCUGUUGGUUACAUAGUUCCACUCAGAUCCCAGCGCUACUUAAUUGGCAAAACUCGCAUUCCGUUCAAUCUGGUGCAGUAAACUAGAAAUAGAUGGAGUUCAUGUACGGGAGCCCCCGGGUGUUUUUAAUAAUGGUGGCGGCGCCACAGCUGCGCCCCCGGAACCCGACGACCCGCUGCUUCUAAUAUACCGAGACGUAUCUAAUCGAUUAAACAACCAAACCGAUCAUUAUGUCCGCGAGUCUAUCAUGUUAUAUCAAGCCGCGGGUGGUCCCUGGACCACGUAACAAUUAUGGCCGAAUACAAUGGUUCACGUGGUCGUCGGUGACGCCAGCUGGGCAUAAUUUACGGUGUUGUUAAAUGAAAACGUGUGACUACACAUAAGCGAACGGAGGCCCCCGUAUAUAAAAUCGGGGGCGUAGCCGAUGACGCGAGAUUGGAAACUGAUCAAGAUGAAUGAAGUUCACAAUGAGUUCAAAGCGAGCGAGUUCAACUUAGGGCUGUGAAUAAUGAAACGCCGCCGUCAAAACACGAACCGAUUGCAGUCUGUUAUUAUCACCCCCUACACUGGAAGAGUUGCACUGCAAGCACGCCGUUUUCCGUGUUUAUUUUAAGCGUAACUAGACAAACGAUAUCGACUAAGCUGCGGACAAAUUCGAGGGGCGAAAGCUGUUAUUACAAAUUAAUAUGUACCACCACGACAGUGUUAUCGCCGUUUCAUGACCAAGAUUUCAAGCGCGAGGAUUCCGACUGCAUAAAAUGCGUGCCCGCUUAUGAUUUUAUCGGCACUUGUUCAAAUAAUGCUUCCAAUAAAAAGAGUAAUUUACUACUGAAUAAACUUUCAGAAAUAUGAGCGUUUUUACUUCCUAUUUCCCUCCCGUUCCAGGCUCUAUGACUUCAUAACGCAUUC
Tribolium castaneum (red flour beetle) is the source of this 2402-nucleotide long non-coding RNA. RefSeq lists it as uncharacterized. The transcript has 3 exons. The record is from RefSeq and is a predicted model, not a curated record. Lineage: Eukaryota; Metazoa; Arthropoda; Insecta; Coleoptera; Tenebrionidae.